Molecule: ribosomal RNA, 321 nt
Filed under: Triticum aestivum (bread wheat)
Lineage: Eukaryota; Viridiplantae; Streptophyta; Magnoliopsida; Poales; Poaceae
Description: partial small subunit ribosomal RNA
Source: RNAcentral
AUGGUGACCAGUACUUGGACGGACAUGGGUGACGAACGUGAACGGCUCGUGCGCUGUAGCGUCAGAGGGAGAAAGCGGCGUGGUGGCGAGGGACCUCCCCGGGAGCAGCCGAGGGUGGGCGUGAAGAUUCAGACCGGUGGCGCCGCGCGAGGGCUGGGUCGCGCCGGUGGCCAUAGCUCGUCUGUGGGAGGUCGAGCCCGCGGAUGCUGGAGGUGGCCGCACCGGGUGGAUGUUGGUGGCGGCGAGCCAAGGGAUGGCGGUGGCGAGGAGGAUGGCGGCGCCGGCAGCCAGGAAGCAGGGCGCAGGGCGGCGGGGAGGUAG